GGGGGUACAGCUCAGUGGUAGAGUGCAUGCUUAGCAUGCACGAGGUCCUGGGUUCAAUCCCUAGUACCUCCA
This 72-nucleotide transfer RNA is filed under the name Camelus bactrianus (Bactrian camel). It matches the Rfam family "tRNA". Rfam says of the family: Transfer RNA (tRNA) molecules are approximately 80 nucleotides in length. Their secondary structure includes four short double-helical elements and three loops (D, anti-codon, and T loops). Further hydrogen bonds mediate the characteristic L-shaped molecular structure. tRNAs have two regions of fundamental functional importance: the anti-codon, which is responsible for specific mRNA codon recognition, and the 3' end, to which the tRNAs corresponding amino acid is attached (by aminoacyl-tRNA synthetases). tRNAs cope with the degeneracy of the genetic code in two manners: having more than one tRNA (with a specific anti-codon) for a particular amino acid; and 'wobble' base-pairing, i.e. permitting non-standard base-pairing at the 3rd anti-codon position. RNAcentral also lists the same sequence under 2 other names. The record is from Rfam by way of RNAcentral. Lineage: Eukaryota; Metazoa; Chordata; Mammalia; Artiodactyla; Camelidae.